UACGGGGGGAGCAAGCGGUUGUUCGGAUUUACUGGGCGUAAAGGGCGCGGUAGGCGGAUCGUGACAAGUCACUUGUGAAAUCUCCGGGGCUUAACUCGGAACGGUCAAGUGAUACUGUCGGACUAGAGUACAGAAGGGGCAACUGGAAUUCUCGGUGUAGCGGUGAAAAUGCGUAGAUAUCGAGAGGAACACCUGCGGCGAAGGCGGGUUGCUGGGCUGAUACUGACGCUGAGGCGACGAAAGCCAGGGGAGCGAACGGG
Molecule: ribosomal RNA, 260 nt
Filed under: uncultured bacterium
Lineage: Bacteria
Description: partial 16S ribosomal RNA
Rfam family: Bacterial small subunit ribosomal RNA
Source: RNAcentral